UACGUAGGGUGCAAGCGUUAAUCGGAAUUACUGGGCGUAAAGCGUGCGCAGGCGGUUCUGUAAGACAGGUGUGAAAUCCCCGGGCUUAACCUGGGAAUUGCGCUUGAAACUAGCGGGCUUGAGUGUGGCAGAGGGGGGUGGAAUUCCACGUGUAGCAGUGAAAUGCGUAGAGAUGUGGAGGAACACCGAUGGCGAAGGCAGCCCCCUGGGUCAACACUGACGCUCAUGCACGAAAGCGUGGGGAGCAAACAGG
RNAcentral lists this ribosomal RNA (253 nucleotides) under uncultured bacterium. RNAcentral's name for it is "partial 16S ribosomal RNA". It matches the Rfam family "Bacterial small subunit ribosomal RNA", at positions 524 to 776 of the family's 1533-position model. The record is from RNAcentral.